GAUGAACGCUGGCGGCGUGCCUAAUACAUGCAAGUCGAGCGAACAGACGAGGAGCUUGCUCCUCUGACGUUAGCGGCGGACGGGUGAGUAACACGUGGAUAACCUACCUAUAAGACUGGGAUAACUUCGGGAAACCGGAGCUAAUACCGGAUAAUAUAUUGAACCGCAUGGUUCAAUAGUGAAAGACGGUUUUGCUGUCACUUAUAGAUGGAUCCGCGCCGCAUUAGCUAGUUGGUAAGGUAACGGCUUACCAAGGCAACGAUGCGUAGCCGACCUGAGAGGGUGAUCGGCCACACUGGAACUGAGACACGGUCCAGACUCCUACGGGAGGCAGCAGUAGGGAAUCUUCCGCAAUGGGCGAAAGCCUGACGGAGCAACGCAGCGUGAGUGAUGAAGGUCUUCGGAUCGUAAAACUCUGUUAUUAGGGAAGAACAAAUGUGUAAGUAACUAUGCACGUCUUGACGGUACCUAAUCAGAAAGCCACGGCUAACUACGU
This 496-nucleotide ribosomal RNA is filed under the name uncultured bacterium. RNAcentral's name for it is "partial 16S ribosomal RNA". It matches the Rfam family "Bacterial small subunit ribosomal RNA", at positions 28 to 506 of the family's 1533-position model. The record is from RNAcentral.